RNAcentral lists this transfer RNA (71 nucleotides) under Kouleothrix aurantiaca. It matches the Rfam family "tRNA". Rfam says of the family: Transfer RNA (tRNA) molecules are approximately 80 nucleotides in length. The record is from Rfam by way of RNAcentral. Lineage: Bacteria; Bacillati; Chloroflexota; Chloroflexia; Chloroflexales; Roseiflexaceae.
GGCCCUGUACUUUAAUGGCAGAAGGCCCGCCUUUCAAGCGGGGAGCGACGGGUCGGUACCGUCCAGGGCUA